This 21-nucleotide microRNA is filed under the name Brachypodium distachyon (stiff brome). Its description in RNAcentral is "bdi-miR5181d". Lineage: Eukaryota; Viridiplantae; Streptophyta; Magnoliopsida; Poales; Poaceae. The record is from miRBase by way of RNAcentral.
ACUUAUUAUGGACCGGAGGGA